GCUGAGGAUCCUACGGGAGGCAGCAGUGGGGAAUAUUGCACAAUGGGCGCAAGCCUGAUGCAGCCAUGCCGCGUGUAUGAAGAAGGCCUUCGGGUUGUAAAGUACUUUCAGCAGUGAGGAAGGUGGGUAUGUUAAUAGCAUACUCAUUUGACGUUAGCUGCAGAAGAAGCACCGGCUAACUCCGUGCCAGCAGCCGCGGUAAUACGGAGGGUGCGAGCGUUAAUCGGAAUUACUGGGCGUAAAGCGCAUGCAGGUGGUUUGUUAAGUCAGAUGUGAAAGCCCGGGGCUCAACCUCGGAAUUGCAUUUGAAACUGGCAAACUAGAGUACUGUAGAGGGGGUAGAAUUUCAGGUGUAGCGGUGAAAUGCGUAGAGAUCUGAAGGAAUACCGGUGGCGAAGGCGGCCCCCUGGACAGAUACUGACACUCAGAUGCGAAAGCGUGGGGAGCAAACAGGAUUAGAUACCCUGGUAG
This 471-nucleotide ribosomal RNA is filed under the name uncultured bacterium. RNAcentral describes it as "bacterial SSU rRNA". It matches the Rfam family "Bacterial small subunit ribosomal RNA", at positions 329 to 793 of the family's 1533-position model. The record is from RNAcentral.